This 720-nucleotide ribosomal RNA is filed under the name Pseudomonas koreensis. RNAcentral's name for it is "bacterial SSU rRNA". It matches the Rfam family "Bacterial small subunit ribosomal RNA", at positions 172 to 873 of the family's 1533-position model. The record is from RNAcentral. Lineage: Bacteria; Pseudomonadati; Pseudomonadota; Gammaproteobacteria; Pseudomonadales; Pseudomonadaceae.
CAUACGUCCUACGGGAGAAAGCAGGGGACUUUCUGGCCUUGCGCUAUCAGAUGAGCCUAGGUCGGAUUAGCUAGUUGGUGAGGUAAUGGCUCACCAAGGCGACGAUCCGUAACUGGUCUGAGAGGAUGAUCAGUCACACUGGAACUGAGACACGGUCCAGACUCCUACGGGAGGCAGCAGUGGGGAAUAUUGGACAAUGGGCGAAAGCCUGAUCCAGCCAUGCCGCGUGUGUGAAGAAGGUCUUCGGAUUGUAAAGCACUUUAAGUUGGGAGGAAGGGUUGUAGAUUAAUACUCUGCAAUUUUGACGUUACCGACAGAAUAAGCACCGGCUAACUCUGUGCCAGCAGCCGCGGUAAUACAGAGGGUGCAAGCGUUAAUCGGAAUUACUGGGCGUAAAGCGCGCGUAGGUGGUUUGUUAAGUUGGAUGUGAAAGCCCCGGGCUCAACCUGGGAACUGCAUUCAAAACUGACAAGCUAGAGUAUGGUAGAGGGUGGUGGAAUUUCCUGUGUAGCGGUGAAAUGCGUAGAUAUAGGAAGGAACACCAGUGGCGAAGGCGACCACCUGGACUGAUACUGACACUGAGGUGCGAAAGCGUGGGGAGCAAACAGGAUAAAAUACCCUGGUAGUCCACGCCGUAAACGAUGUCAACUAGCCGUUGGGAGCCUUGAGCUCUUAGUGGUCCGAAUUAGUAGGCUAACAGAGGUGAGCCCAGGUUGGACA